Molecule: non-coding RNA, 6861 nt
Organism: Xyrichtys novacula (pearly razorfish)
Lineage: Eukaryota; Metazoa; Chordata; Actinopteri; Labriformes; Labridae
Source: the annotation of a GenBank genome assembly
GCUUCAGGUUUGGAUGGAGCUUCAUGGUUGUCUUUUGGAGAAAUGACCAGUCAAGUUGUGUUUGAAAUUUGAUUUUUUUCAGGGGCAAAAGGAGCCUCUGCAUUCUUGUCAAAUAUGUAAAUAGCAUGUUUUUGCAGGUGCUAAAAACCAGACUCUGAGUGUGUGUGUGUGCGUGUGUUUGUGUGUGUGUGUGUGUGUGUGUGUGUGUGUGUGUGUGUGCGUUCAAGUCACAUGACAUAUUUAACCGGAUGUAGCUGCAAGACGGAGCCUCGUUGACUCUCCGUUUCAAUUUAUCUCAAAAGUGAGGACCUCAACCUAUAUACCAGUUUUUAAAUUGUGUUGAUAGGCCAAAUAAAACCAGAGUUAUGAUAAAUUAUGUCCACGAUACUUGUUUUCUGCUUAUUUUGAUCACGUUCGGCGCUCGAUCGCGCUGUAUGAGACAGGAAAACAUAGCAUGCAGACAUUAGCGACAGGUCUUACAGGCGGAAAAGGCUUGCCAAAGGAAAAAAAAACACACCACAACAUCUCUCCUAUUGGUGGAAAACUUCACCACAACAACCAAUCCAAAAUUAUAUGGUGACUGAUUGACAAGGGGCGGGAACUUACGUUCUUCCUGCAAUAUGAGAAGGGAGGGAGGGACUCUCAGCAGGGAUGCAGUCUGGGACACGUAGUUGCAAACCUAGCGACUUUGUUGUUAGAUUCAAUGACUUUUCAGACCCCCUAACGACUUUUUUUUAGAAAGAAAGUGACUUUUAUCGACUUCUUCUGGAGUUUAGAGACUCUGACAUGAAGCAGGCUUUCCUUACUGAGGAGUUAGCAACGCUGCUAAGGGUGCAGAGCCACACAUGCGCUCCGAGCUCUGCAUGGGAGACUGAAGCUGACAGAGCUGCAGCAGUUAGCAGGUUUCACCUUCAGAGACCACCAGGGGUUCAUGUUGAGGCAUUUUAAUUUUUUUUUUUUUUUUGCCAUAGACACUGUCAGCACAAUCUGCAGUUACACUAACAAAAAUGCUGCAAAAAACAAAGAAUUAUGGAAAAAUUACACAUGGACUAACAUAGAGGAGGAUCUACACAAGUUUUUUACAUCAUGUUUUACAUCAUGCAUCAUUUACAUCAUGUUUUUUUGUAGUGGCAUAAAUAAAAAGUGACAUUUGUGAGACUAUACAGUGUUUUGUAAAUAAUUUUACAAAGAACACCUGGGCCAUUGCCUGCAUUUUGAUGUCAAUAGAGGUAAAUUACUAUGUUCUUUGUUAAAAAUUUGCAUAUGUUUUGAAGUUUACAAUUUUUAUUUGAAGUUUAAGUUUUAAAAACAGUUCAUCACACAUAUUUGUGGUUUUCACAGUAAAAACGUUACUUUUUUCCACUCGGAUUUUAUGUUUUGUGUGUGAAUUUGGGUCCAAUGUGUAAAUAUAGUAUGUCAAAAUGAUAAAAUAACUGUAAAUUGACACAGGUGAGGUUGUGCUGAAAAAAAUGAUACCAGGCAAGGCAAGGUAAAAAUUUUGUAAGAGGAAAUAUAAAGGUAAAAUCUAAAGUAGUCAAAAACGGCCAAUAGUGACUCACAGACUCCACAGACAAGUCCCUUUGCCGCCACUCAGUGGGCAAAACUACUUUGUCUACUGUAAUGUAUAUUUGGGUCAUCUUUGGCGCCCCCUAAAACGUAAACCGUGGGGUGCAGCGUCAUGAUUUUUACAACUUUGAAUGGCCAUGGAGUGUAGAUUGGCCUGAGCAAAUUUGGUGUCAGUGGGACGAAAGCCUUAGGAGGAGUUAGCGAAAUUCCAAUGUGUGCGAAUCGGCAAAAAAUGCAAAAUAGCCCUUUUACCGUACAUUAUACAGAUACGCGCUCUUUGACUUUUUCGUAGAUCUAAUUGAGAUACACAUGAUUGUCAAUUUUUGUGUCAUUUUGCCAAAGCGUACAGGCGUGACAGUCAACAAUGUGUAUUUUCACCUUAGGGGACAAGAAAAAAUGGACUUUUUUCUCCUGCCAUGGGGGGCGCUCUUUUGGGGAGUAAAAAUUCCUUCACAAAUGUGUUGAUGGCUGGACAUUGCAUCAUCCUAGAAAACUUGGAGGCCAGUGAGGACAAAAAUAAAAAGUUAUAAGACUUUUAAAAAUGUGGAUUUUUGGGUUAUCUUUGGCGCCCCCUAGAACGUAAACCGUGGGGUGCAGCGUCAUGAUUUGAAUAACUUUUAAUGGCCAUGGGGUGUAAUUUGGCCUGAGCAAAUGUGGUGCCGGUGGAACGAAAGCCUUCGGAGGAGUUAGCGAAAUUCCAAUGUGUGCGAAUCGGCAAAAAAUGCGGAAUAACCCUUUAACCGUACAUUAGACAGAUACGCGCGCAUUGACUUUUUUGUAGAUCUUAUUGAGAUACAUGUGUGUGUCAAUUUUUGUGUCAUUUUGACAAAGCGUACAGGCGUGACACUCAACAAUGUGUAUUUUCACCUUAGGGGACAAGAAAAAAAUGGACUUUUUUCUCCUGCCAUGGGGGGGCGCUCUUUUGGGGAGUAAAAAUUCCUUCACAAAUGUGUUGAUGGCUGGACAUUGCAUCAUCCUAGAAAACUUGGAGGCCAGUGAGGGCAAAAAUAAAAAGUUAUAAGACUUUUAAAAAUGUGGAUUUUAGGGUUAUCUUUGGCGCCCCCUAGAACCUAAACCGUGGGGUGCAGCGUCAUGAUUUGAAUAACUUUUAAUGGCCAUGGGGUGUAGAUUGGCCUGAGCAAAUGUGGUGCCGGUGGAACGAAAGCCUUCGGAGGAGUUAGCCACAUUCCAAUGUGUGCGUAUCGGCAAAAAAUGCGGAAUAACCCUUUAACCGUACAUUUGACAGAUACGCGCUCAUAGACUUUUUUGUAGAUCUUAUAGAGAUACAUGUGUGUGUAAAUUUUUGUGUCAUUUUGCCAAAGCGUAAAGGCGUGACACUCAACAAUGUGUAUUUUCACCUUAGGGGACAAGAAAAAAUGGACUUUUUUCUCCUGCCAUGGGGGGGCGCUCUUUUGGGGAGUAAAAAUUCCUUCACAAAUGUGUUGAUGGCUGGACAUUGCAUCAUCCUAGAAAACUUGGAGGCCAGUGAGGACAAAAAUAAAAAGUUAUAAGACUUUUAAAUAUGUGGAUUUUAGGGUUAUUUUUGGCGCCCCCUAGAACCUAAACCGUGGGGUGCAGCGUCAUGAUUUGAAUAACUUUUAAUGGCCAUGGGGUGUAGAUUGGCCUGAGCAAAUGUGGUGCCGGUGGAACGAAAGCCUUCGGAGGAGUUAGCGAAAUUCCAAUGUGUGCAGAUCUGCAAAAAAUGCAAAAUAACCCAUUAACCGUACAUUUGACAGAUACGCCCGCACUGACUUUUUUGUAGAUCUUAUUGAGAUACAUGUGUGUGUCAAUUUUUGUGUCAAUAUGACAAAGCGUACAGCCGUCAUGUGAAUUUUCACCUUAGGGGGCGCUAUGGAGCCAUUUUGCAUUUUCUUGUUUGGGCGACUUCGGAAUAUCAAAUUUUUCACCAGGCCCGGUCGUCCUGCCAAAUUUCCUGAGUUUUCGCCAGUGGGAAGUGGGCCAUUUUCCAGUUCAAAGGGGAGGAAAAAGAAAAAACUAGGGCCCCGUUGGGGCACUGGCGGGCCCGAGCCGUGUCGCGCCGCCCCCAGCGCGACCGCCUACCCCUCCCGAUCGCGUCACACUCAAGGUCCAAAGAUGGUGUGCGCACUUGUCUGUGGUCAUUUACCAUUAUAAUGAAUGGGAGGCGCAGUUUCUACCAAAACGCUCGCUGCAGACAAACUCCAUGUCCUUUUUGAAAAAAGUCUGGACCAUGAGUGAGGGCACAAACACAGCUAUGAUAUAUCCAAAUGGCAAGGUGCUCCUCCUUUCGGUUUUGCCGAGAGAGCGAUGCGUUUGAGCCAUUGAGCGAUGGGCAGGAAAAACUUGACUUUUUCUCCUGCCAUGGGAGGGCGCUCUUUUGGGGAGAAAAAAUUCCUUCACAAAUGUGUUGAUGACUGAACAUUGCAUCAUCCUAGAAAACUUGGAGGCCAGUGAGGACAAAAAUAAAGUUAUAAGACUUUUAAAAAUGUGGAUAUUUGGGUCCUCUUUGGCGCCCCCUAGAACGUAAACCGUGGGGUGCAGCGUCAUGAUAUUUACAACUUUGAAUGGCCAUGGGGUUUAGAUUGGCCUGAGCAAAUUUGGUGUCAGUGGGACGAAAGCCUUAGGAGGAGUUAGCCACAUUCCAAUGUGUGCGAAUCGGCAAAAAAUGCGAAAUAGCCCUUUAACCGUACAUUUUACAGAUACGUGCACAUUGACUUUUUCGUAGAUCUUAUUGAGAUACACGUGAUUGCCAAAUUUUGUGUCAAUAUGACAAAGCGUACAGGCGUGACACUCAACAAUGUGUAUAUUCGCCUUAGGGGACAAGAAAAAAAUGGACUUUUUUCUCCUGCCAUGGGGGGGCGCUCUUUUGGCGAGUAAAAAUUCCUUCACAAAUGUGUUAAUUGCUGGACAUUGCAUCAUCCUAGAGAACUUGGAGGCCAGUGAGGACAAAAAUAAAAAGUUAUAAGACUUUUAAGAAUGUGGAUUUUUGGGUUAUCUUUGGCGCCCCCUAGAACCUAAACCGUGGGGUGCAGCGUCAUGAUUUGUACAACUUUUAAUGGCCAUGGGGUGUAGAUUGGCCUGAGCAAAUUUGGUGCCGGUGGAACGAAAGCCUUCGGAGGAGUUAGCGAAAUUCCAAUGUGUGCGGAUCGGUAAAAAAUGCGAAAUAACCCUUUAACCGUACAUUUGACAGAUACGCCCACACUGACUUUUUUGUAGAUCGUAUUGAGAUACAUGUGUGUGUCAAUUUUUGUGUCAAUAUGACAAAGCGUACAGGCGUGACAGUCAAUAGUGUGAAUUUUCACCUUAGGGGGCGCUAUGGAGCCAUUUUGCAUUUUAUUGUUUGGGCGACUUCAGAAUAUCGAAUUUUUCACCAGGCCCGGUCAUCCUGCCAAAUGUCAUGAGUUUUCGCCAGUGGGAAGUGGGCCAUUUUCCCCUUCAAAGGGGAGGAAAAAUAAGAAGAACUAGGGCCCCGUUGGGGCACUGGCGGGCCCGAGCCGUGUCGCGCCGCCCCCAACACGACCGCCUCUCCCUACCGAUCGCGUCACACUCAAGGUCCAAAGAUGGUGUGCGCACUUGUCUGUGGUCAUUUACAAUUAUAAUGAAUGGGAGGCGCAGUUUCUACCAAAACGCUCGCCGCAGACAAACUACGUGUCCUAUUUGAAAAGGACUGGACCAUGAGUGAGGGCACAAACACAGCUAGGAUAUAUCCAAAUGGCAAGUUGCUCCUCCUUUCGGUUUUGCCGAGAGAGCGAUGUGUUUGAGUCAUUGAGCGAUGGGCAGGAAAAACUUGACUUUUUCUCCUGCCAUGGGGGGGCGCUCUUUUAGGGAGUAAAAAUUCCUUCACAAAUGUGUUGAUGGCUAGACAUUGCAUCAUCCUAGAAAACUUGGAGGCCAGUGAGGACAAAAAUAAAAAGUUAUAAGACUUUUAAGAAUGUGGAUUUUUGGGUUAUCUUUGGCGCCCCCUAGAACAUAAACCGUGGGGUGCAGCGUCAUGAUUUUUACAACUUUGAAUGGCCAUGGAAUGUAGAUUGGCCUGAGUAAAUUUGGUGUCAGUGGAACGAAAUAUUUAGGAGGAGUUAGCCACAUUCCAAUGUGUGCGAAUCGACCAAAAAUGCGAAAUAGCCCUUUAACCGUACAUUUUACAGAUACGCGCCCAUUGACUAUUUCGUAGAUCUUAUUGAGAAACACGUGAUUGUCAAAGUUUGUUACAAUAUGACAAAGCGUACAGGCGUGACACUCAAUAAUGUGAAUUUUCACCUUAGGGGGAAGAAAAACUGGACUUUUUUCUCCUGCCAUGGGGGGGCGCUCUUUUGGGGAGUAAAAAUUCCUUCACAAAUGUGUUGAUGGCUAGACAUUGCAUCAUCCUAGAAAACUUGGAGGCCAGUGAGGACAAAAAUAAAAAGUUAUACGACUUUUAAGAAUGUGGAUUUCUGGGUUAUCUUUGGCGCCCCCUAGAACGUAAACCGUGGGAUGCAGCAUCAUGAUUUGUACAACUUUUAAUGGCCAUGGGGUGUAGAUUGGCCUGAGCAAAUUUGGUGCCGGUGGAACGAAAGCCUUCGGAGGAGUUAGCGAAAUUCCAAUGUGUGCGGAUCGGCAAAAAAUGCGAAAUAGCCCUUUAACCGUACAUUUGACAGAUACGCCCGGACUGACUUUUUUGUAGAUCUUAUUGAGAUACACGUGUGUGUCAAAUUUUGUGUCAUUUUGACAAAGCGUACAGGCGUGACACUCAAUCAUGUGAAUUUUUCACCUUAGGGGGCGCUAUGGAGCCAUUUUGCAUUUGAUUUUUUGGGCGACUUCAGAAUAUCGAAUUUUUCACCAGGCCCGGUCGUCCUGCCAAAUUUCAUGACUUUUCACCAGUGGGAAGUGGGCCAUUUUCCAGUUCAAAGGGGCAGAAAAAUAAUAACUAGGACCCCGUUGGGGCACUGGCGGGCCCGAGCCGUGUCGCGUCCCCCCCCCCCAAACGUGCUGCCUCCCCGUCCCAUUUGUGUCCUCUGGCCAUCGCCCUCUCUGGUAACGCCCAUCACUGCAAAGACCCUUUUCCUUCAUCGGCGUUUGCUGUUCUUCUUGCCAGUGCGUGUUGCUUUCACUUACACUUGCCACAGCCAGCCUCGUGAGUGCCUAGCCUAUUGGAUAUCACUGUCACUUACACAGGACAGUCAUUACCUUUCUAUUAAUACUUUGUGUUUUAAUUUCACAUUAAUUUCCAUAUUGUAUAAACGACUGGAAAAAACUUGAGCCCCUGCCCCUGUAUAAUCAUGUGCAUGUCUCUGUUCUAGCUCCAAGGUGAAUCUUCACAGCUCAUGUUCUCCUCAGAAG